RNAcentral lists this long non-coding RNA (1134 nucleotides) under Callithrix jacchus (white-tufted-ear marmoset). RNAcentral's name for it is "lncRNA (ENSCJAG00000082839.1)". The record is from RNAcentral. Lineage: Eukaryota; Metazoa; Chordata; Mammalia; Primates; Cebidae.
AUAACCACAAAAUGACCACUCUGUUUCUGACGUGUAGGGAUCAGGUUCUGGUUGGUCAGUUUCUGUCUUGCCCACUAAAAUGAAAGACAAACAGACUUACCCUGGGCCUGUGAUGGGAGUAGCAGCCCUGAUGAUCUCUAAAAUGUCUGCGGGGAAUCGUUUUAUUUUAUUGAAAGAUAACUAUGUUCUCAACCUUCCUUCAUUGCAUUUGUGGCUUGCAGAAUGGCAGCUCUUACCAGAAACUGACCCUGUUGGGCCUUGAUCUGAAACUUCAAGCCUCCAGAAUGGGAAUACCUUGACACCCCCCUCAUCCUGAGAUGAAGUCUCACUCUGUUGCCCAGGCAGUUUUGCAGUGGCGUCAUCUUGGCUCACUGCAACCUCCACCUCCUGGUUCAAGUGAUUCUCCUGCCCCAGGCUCCCCAGUAGCUGGGAUCACAGACAUGACUGUGCUUAUAAGAAUGAGGAGGUUUUGCAAUUGGGGACAGGGACAUAAUGACCUCUCUGCCAUUGAUCAUCAAUAAGCCUUGACAAUCGUCCACGUAGGCAUGUGCUGGACACAGAUGCCAAGUCACGCUGCUCCACUAGCUUCUAGCCUCUGUUGUUGAUUGCUUUUCUUGGACCAUUUCCUUUAUUUAAUUGUGUCAAGUUACUUAAGUUAAAGAAGAUAUUUGCUGCUGUUGUGGGUGAAAUCAGCCCACUUGUCAAACAAAAUGUUUGUGAGAUUUUGGAGGAAGCAUCUCGGUGCUGCGGACCAAACACAACAAUGUUCACUGAUGGAGGAAAUCUUCAUUACUGAGUUACUGAUUCUGACCGAACUCAGUGGCUCAAUAAACAACUUUGCUAUCUCAGAAAAUCACCCUCUUUGCCAGCAAGAUGUUUGGAGUCAUUCCAAGAAAAAGAGAGAAAAAAAAAUUCUGGUCAAUGGAGAGACGGGACCACAUUGAAAGGUUAUGCAGGAAGCAUGGCCCAGGCAUCUGCUCAGCUUCUACAGUGGCCUCAGGGAGCCUCUACUCAUGGUGGACAGCAAAGCUGGAGCAGGCAUGUCACGUGGUAAAAGCAGGAGCAAGAGAGAAGAGAAGGAGGCGUCGCACUUGACAACAAUCAGAUCUCUCAAGAACUCACUCACUAUUGUGA